Molecule: transfer RNA, 47 nt
Filed under: Daphnia pulex (common water flea)
Lineage: Eukaryota; Metazoa; Arthropoda; Branchiopoda; Diplostraca; Daphniidae
Description: partial tRNA-Gln
Source: RNAcentral
AAGAGAUUUUGAUUUUCUAAGAUUUGGUGGAAAUCCAUUACAUGUAA